Molecule: long non-coding RNA, 11242 nt
Organism: Dicentrarchus labrax (European seabass)
Lineage: Eukaryota; Metazoa; Chordata; Actinopteri; Moronidae
Exons: 5
Source: RefSeq, a predicted model, not a curated record
ACGAAUUCCGCAAGCAUUACCAUAGCCACCAUAGCCACGUGCGCACCAGAGCCAAUCACUGCAGAGCCCUAAUGUGUAGUGAUUGAGAUCCUGACCCACCAAACAUCCUGGAAAGGGACGAAGUUACGUUUUUCACUCUAAAUUACACAAUUAUUACAUAAUCACCAGCAGUAAACUGGACGCUGUCUGACUCGCAGGACGGAGAUUGUUUUCCGGUGGAAAGUAAACUGAUGUCUCGGUCCGGAGGGCUGACGGUGGCGGUGAUUUUUGAUCACAAACACUCCGGCUAAAUAAUAUGUCCUGCCCAGUUCAUUUACUAGGCUCUGCUACAAGUUACUCUGUUUAUGCUGCCAGGUUGUAGUUCACUUUCUUCUUUCAGAAUUUAUAUGCGCUGACCAUGAGGUGUGGCACUGUCACAUUAGUGGAAUGGGGUUCAUCUCCCUACAGUGUCCUUGCUAAAAGCCAAAUUAUAUGAAAACACAAUAGUUAUCAAUCUACACAUUUCACAAUAAACCUAAAUGUCCCUGACGUCCCACCUUCAAAUACAGCCUCAUUUGGCCAUCCAUGAAAAAGCUACUUAACCUCCCACUUUUCUAUAGCAAUACAUUCUUCCUACGGGCAGUGCACUAGUACCCCAUGAACGGCGAAAGAUGCCGUGGCAUUUCAGAUUGUAUCUUGUGUGCACACAUUUUAAGAGCUUGUUGCAGUGAAACGUGGCCUCACUAGCCUACUUUUGUUUUUCUCUCAAUGGCCUCUGGGGCUUUUUUUUAUAAUAAUAAUAAUAAUACUACAUUUUAUUUAAAAAAAAGCGCUUUUCUGAAUACUCAAAGACACUGUACAAUAUAAUAUAAGAAGAAUACAAGAACAUCAAUCAGUAAAACAAUAUAAAACAGUACAUUACCUACGUUAAAAACACAUGAGACUGAGCUAGAUUUUAAAAGCCAUUUAUAGUACAAAUUUAAAGUAGAAUUAAAUGAAAAAUACUCAAUUACAGUACAAGUACCUCCAAAUGUAUUUAGGAACAGUACUUAAAUACUUACAUUGAAUUUAUUUGUGGUACUGCCCCUUAUAACAUUUCAAAGAUUUUGCUUUUCGUUGUGUUAUGUCACUCACAUGCAUACAUAAUGACAAUAAACAAGCCUUAUCUCCCCCAAAAACAUUUUAUUACCAUAUACAAAUUACUUUCACAAAUAAAUCAUGUAUAAAGACAAAAGUUCUCAUCAAUAUAAUAAUCCAGGAAAAUUCUGAAAACCGUAAAAGCAUUGUUUAAGGCAUUAUGGGUCUUGUGAAAUGAAUUCAAGCAGCAAGUAGCCCUUAUUUUGAGGAGAUAUAUUCAUUUGACUUAAUAUAUUCCUCUAUAUGUUGUAAUAUCGGUUAAAUAUUCUCUGGAUAUAUAAAACAUUAGACAAGUAAAAGCAUUAUCACCCCAAGAUUUAUCUUAAGUCAAUACCAGGCCCAAAGAAAAUGUAGGUAAUAAAAACAGCAUUUUGAGUUAAAAAGAAGUAACGGUAAGAAAAUCCACUUUAGAUGUUAACACCACUGAUAAUGUUGAUGCCAGGAUGAGGAGUCACAUGAAGGAUUUAGUCAAUGUGAUAAUAACAGAAUUCCUGCUGCUCAGGCAUAUUGAGUUAGAAACCCAGGAGGCUGAGGAGAACAAAAGGGAGGAACGGGGGAGAACAGCUCCAGAGGCCGAAGAGGUGAACACUGUGUGGAGUCACACUCGAGCGCUGCAAGACUUGAAGACUUGGGGUCAAAGACAUCACUGUUCUUAUUGAUAAUCUUUUUCUAAAAGUAAACAGUUUCAUUGUAUUGUGUAAAACCAACACAUCUGUAAAGCUAAGCCAAGUCCAAUGAUGAAAACUCUGAAAUAUUCUCGACUCAAAAGCCCACUUACUAGCUUUUGUUUUACCUCGACAAAGAUGCACAGCUCAGCCUACCAAGUGUGAAGGAGAAACUACGGUGGCCCUUUUUUUGGUUUGUCCAUUUUGGGCUAGUGUAGAAGGCCUCCGUGGAAAAGGACACGCUGCCACUGUAGAUAAAAACGUCUACACACCUUUCUCUGCUGGUUGCCUGGCAACCUCAAUGUGCCCGACCAAUAGAUAGUCCAAGACAUAACGCCACGUAAAACUACAACUUCCUGUUUUUACACAUCAGUUUAAACAAACAAGAUUUAAUGUAUUAAUUACUGAGUUGACAGAGCUAGGCUAGCUUUUGACCCCUGUUUUCAGUCUUUAUACUAAGCUAGGCUAAUCAGCUACUGGCUGCAGUUUUACAUAAACCGAAACCAGAAAUGUUUUAAAAUAAAAUAAGCCCUUUUUUAUACAACAGUUUUGGUUUUGUCACAUGAGCGAUUUCUAUAUUUGUACUUUUGUCUUGUGUGGGCGGGGCUCAGUUGGACCAAUCAUAAUUUAACAUUAUUAGAACCGGAAACCAAAUUUCACCACAGUCCUUGUUUGCUCAUGUUGCCAUGGUAAUGACGCUGCCAAUUCAAUCUGAUCAAACUACUCCCUCACAUUCCCGAUGAAGCAGAUUUAGUUUUUACGUGUUGAUCUCUUAACAAAAAUAGCUAAGGAACAUUUUAAAUGUGAAACCUGAUGCUUUAACAACAGCUCUUUAAAUAACCAAUACAUUCAACAGCUGUUACAUAUAUCAAAGGAAUGAACUAGAAUAACUGCACAUAGCUAUCCGUGUAGACGUAGCUAUAAACUGGGAGCAGGUAUAGGAAGAGAGAAAGGCUCAGUAAUGUAAUGUAGAACUACUGGAAUAAUCUUUACAGCACCAGGCUUAUUAUUCCAGAGUGAGUAAUGCCCUGCCUAUAGACAGCAAUAAUGUAAACGUUUGUGACGGGCUAAAACAUGUAGAAACAGCAUUGUUGUCCUUUAGGUUUUGAGGUAUUUGAGAUGUGGAUUCUUUAAAUCCACAUCUGCAACUCAAUGUAGUAUUUUGUACAUUCAGUAUCUGUAACACUUCCAAAUAUAAUUUAAUGAUUAAUAAAAAAAAUUAAAAACCCUAUAUUAGACAUUUAAUAUACUGUAUUUAGAUAGGUCACUUCGCUUAAAACAAAUAUCUGUCAAUGAAAACUAUCACCAUAUAUAUAGUAAACAACCAGCUCCACAUAUUUUAUAGAAUGAAAAAAGUUAUUUUUAAAGGAUUGGCAUUUCAUUACAUAUUUCCAUUCUUUCCACCAUCAGGGACAGACAGUAAGGCACUGAUGCUCGUCAUUUCCUUUGCUAUCACUGGAAGUUCUUCGGCAGGUUGGGAGCUUGACUUGAGACGCUAGCAGAAGAUAUUAAUAUUGUCAAAGUGCAGCAGAAACAAUAUGCACAGGCAAAAAUAAAUAGUUUAUAAUCUUUAAAUGUUUCUUAAAACUGCGAAAUAACAAGUCACCCACGGACAACCCCCACUGACCUGCCAGAGAGUCCCCUUUUCUUUAGCCAGUUUGCAGACCAUGGUCACUGGAAUCAUGGUAAGAGAUGACAUGGCUAAAAACCAGCCGACACAGUACGCCCACCACGGAUACACGUAGGAGUUGUUGAACGUCAGGGGGGUGUAUCUCAGGAGCAGAAAUAUAAGGGUGCCCUUUAAAGGUAAUCACAAAUAUAGAAACAUGACUGGGUUCAAAAGGAAAGGUAGUUCCUGUAAAUAGAAUUUAUUAUUGACUGCUUUAAAUGCUUACACUGCAGAUAAGAGGGGUGCCAUACAUCCAGCUGUAUUUGAUCAGUGACAGAGGUUUAUACCCAAUCAUGUCCUCGAUGUUGUCACUGAAGCGUUCAGCACCUAGAACAGAAACAAACAUAUUAGAUAAGCUCUGUCCCAGCUCCAUAUGUCACAUACUAUAUACUGUAGUAUGUGGUAUUCAAAGUGCCCGUCCGGGGGCCAUUUCCGCCCCCCUCACUCCAGCCUGUGACAUGAUGUCAAAAAAAGAAUAGAAUCCAUCCUGCAAUAUUAUUUCUAAUUAUUUUUCUAGUUAUUUCAUAUCAAUUUAAACUAAAUAAUGGCACAAAAUAAUGUUAAAGGUGCCUGAAAUGCAUGCAGACGGCUGAUGAGAAGAAAGCAGGUCUUGGGCCUUCAUUUGUUGUUUGGCUGCAACCAACAAAGAUGAUACAAAAUGUAGAGAAAAUGCUGUUUGCAUUGUUUUGGGGAGUGUUAGAGUUAGUAAUGAAAAUAUUUUCACAAAAUUGCACUCUCUUGUAGGUCUUGAAUGUUGAAGUAUGAUGUAGUGAAUAAUAAAUGUCACUGUUUUGGCAGUAGGUACACAAGAUAUUAUUGAACUUUUACCAACAGGAAAUGACAUCCUGCCACAUGCAGUCAAUCAUCCUGUUGCUAGUAGCAACCACUACUGAGAAAGUUCUACAGCAUUUACACUUUUCCACCAUUUUGUCAGAUCUGUGACCAAUACUGACAGAUAUCUGUUAUCUUCUCUACAUUAGAGUCUCACAAAAACUGAUGAUAAAAACUGAGAUGUUAAAUGAGUUUUUCUGAUCAGUUUUGUGUGAACCAAGCUAACCACUAAACCAUUUCUCUGUGGCAACAUUUUGGAUCAUUAUUAAUUUACUGUUCUCUUAGUAAAGUCUUACGUGGCUCUUCUGAACUAUCUUGUCUUCUGCUCUAAAUACUGAAAAAAUAUCAUAGCCAGCGACCCAAAACAAGCAUAUCUCGAAACUGACCCACCCCAAGGUUUUAAAAUAUAUACUGGAGAUAUGGAUAGACCGUUCUGACACGAUUAAAUUGCACUGAGACGCCUAGUCCUUAGUUUUUAUAUCCUGAAAGCCAGAAGGUUGACAAACACAGACAAUCUGUACUUCCAACUUGUGCGUAACCAUUGAACCCAUUUUCAUUUAGAUAUCUUGAGGUCAGAGGUCAAAGGAUCUCUUCGAAAAUGUCCACGGCAGUUUUUCCUGUUGCCAAAUUUUAGCCUAACUUCUUUAGUUCCCUUCCCAACAUGCUAGCACAGCAUGGUUGGUAACAAUUGAUGUGUAAGCUCAUCUAGUUUCAUAUGUAUCAUCCACUCUAGCUUUAAAACAAAGCUCGCUACAGCCUCUGAAAGACAAGGAUAAUGAGGGUGGCCCCCCAGGCCCCCCUCUGGACACAUCCCUGUGUAUAAUUAGUAUGAUGUCAAUGUUACACACAAAAGCUAAAGACAGUCAUGCCACUGAAAACUCUACCUUACCAUAAAUCCAUCCAACAAUCACUGACUGGAAGAUUGCCAUCAGAAGAAGAGUGGGACCACUGCAUACAUAGUGAUCAAAGAUCUGCAGAAUGUAUGCGCCAGCCUAAAAUUAAAACAGGUUAUCAAUCACCUUUUAUUUUGUGCUAAGUAAACAGCUCCUACUGAUGUCAGUCUUCAAUAAGAAGGGGGGAAAAAAGUGGGGUUAAAAGGCGUUAACUGAUCAGACUGCACACGAUAAAUCGCUUAAAUGACCACCAAUUAAUGUACUUCUUACAGCUUACCUGUGACACCAAUAACUGGCCAAACACAUAGCAAACUGCACAGAUCAGCAGCAGGAGGAGCUCUCUGCGAUAUCCUUUUCGGAUCUGGGAAGGGUAGACAUCCGUUAGAGAGGUCAUGAUGCUUUCAAGCCCAGCAAACUGGAGAAUGAUAGAAAGACAAGUUAGUGUAGGGACAGUUAAAGAAGAAACAUUACAGGAAAUGUUUGGGAGAAACGAGGAAGGCUGCAACCGACCUGACCGUCUAUUCCUAACAAGAUGAUCAUGGCGAAGAAGCACACGGACCAGACCUGAGGCCACGGCAGGAGGGUCACAGCUUGUGGGUAGACUAUGAACACAAGACCAGGGCCUGCAGAGUGAAACCAAUUCAUUUAAUGCAGAUUAGGACACAUGCUGAAGGUUACCUGCGGGUCAGCGAGCCGUGCAGGAUUGGGUUUCAGGUAGUACUUGAUACCAUGGAGGGCUCCAGGAAGGGUCAUUCCUCUGAGAAACAGCACCAUCAACAUGAUGAAGGGGAACGUGGCUGUGAAGUAGGUAGCCUAUAGAUUUAAGGAGAAGAUGAUGAUUGUGUCAUAAAUCAAAGACACUAAGAUUGUACACGUGGGAAAAGUUUGCUUGAAACCUUAGGAGCAAUUCUGUGAUGUAAGUGCAUCUUUUGGUAGUUUUGUAACACACCAAGAAACUCUUUCAUAACCCAACAGUGUUGCCAGUACAUUGGGUUUUUAUUACCAUCCUGGGUUUUCGACACAGCCGACAAACAGCUGCAAAAAAACAUAUAAAUGAUCACUUCGGGUGUGAUUUAGGACUUCAUAUCUAACUGACUCACUGCACACUCCUUAUAAAGACAAAACAAUGUAACCAUAUAAAGCGACAGAAAUUCAGGGCACAAAAGAAAAGGUAAACCUGUGUUCACAAAAUCUGUUUACAAGAUGAUAGACUCCAAACUCUAUUAUCCUUAAAGGUGAGGGAAGAGAGGAUGCCAAUGAAGUUCUUAUCAUACUAUAGGAUCAGCUCAUAUCAUCUGAACUUGGGGCACUGGGGGAAAAAUACAGAAGUGGGGAGUGACUCACGUCAGGUAACUCUGAGGCACAGACACACAAGGAUCAUAUUUCAAACAUCUCUCAGAACAGACAUCCAGCAUUUCCAGUUCACUUUCUCACAAAUCACAGACCUCACGCCCGCCCUGCUUAACAACUGAACCGCUGACAAACGACAUGGCUUGUAGCCACUUUUCUCACCUUAGUGAAAAACAUCCUUAACACUGUCUUAUAACGCUCUGAGCUUUACAGAGAGUGGCAGGUGAACAUCGACAUGUUGCAUGUGGCAGCAGGUCUGAGGAAGCCACAGGUGCAAUACAUCGGUCUUAUUAUGGAGAUCUUGUUGAUGUGGCUUUUUAUUUAUCCUUGGGGAUUGCCAAAAUGUAUACUUCCACGUUACAUAUUACUUGAUAUGCCAUACAGUAGAAGUAAAAAUAUUAUAGUGUUCAUUUAUUUGUUGAUCUUGCCUCUCAGUCUAUUUUAACCCCUGAAACUCCUGAUAUCUGAUUGGCCACCAUAUUAUCAUUAAGUCUUUCAGAGGCUGAAUAUAUUGUCAGAAGCCCAGGAUGUGCCCAAAUAACCAACGUAUGCCUGGGCCUGCCCCUGCUUACGGAGUACAGGUGGCUCCAGAUUGGCAAUUUCAGACCGGGUCUUACCUUUCCCGAGGAUCUCACUCCCUUCCAGACGCAGAAGUAGCAGAUGAUCCAGGCCAGAAGAAGACACAAAGAAAGUUCCCACUGUAUGCUUCCCAAGACCUCAAUGCCAGUGGAUAUAUUCAGCACCCGUCGUCUGUAAGGACCAAGGUGGCCCAUGGUAGCUCACCAGAGAAGGAAGAGAACAGGUAGAGGAAAGCCCAGGCUAAAAUCACAAUGUAGCUGAUACUUCCAUAGAAAAUAAUAAUUUGACUGGCGUAUCCCAUGCCUGGAAACAACAUAAAAUGUUAACAUCGUAUUGCCAUAGUAUUUCCUUCUUAACUCUGCUCAGUACAUCACAAUCUUGGCAGGUGUACCUCACCUUCAAACAAGGGGCAGACCUUCCUCCAGCACAUGAUUCCUCCCUGACUGGUGUACUGGCCCAGUGCUGUCUCCAGUACAAACAGAGGAAUGCCACAGGUCACCAGGAACAGGAUGUAAGGAAUGAAGAAUGCACCUGCAAAUGGAUAAAUGUAAUUGGUUAAUGGGAGGACUUCUAUGUGAUACAUUUGAGACCUGCUGAUAGACCACAGGUCUUUUUCACAGAAGACAUUUUGACAUGUUGCAGCAGGAAAAGCACAGAUGUGAAUAAUAAGUGGUCUGCACUUAUAUAGUACUUUUCUACCUUAAAGGACACUGCGCCUUACAAUUUGCCUCUCAUUCACCUAUUAACACACACACUCACACACUGAUGGCGACGGAGCUCCCAUGCAAGGUGCUGGCCUAUUAAAGUCAAGAUUGUCCAUAAACAGGACACCUUGGCUGUGGAAAUUACUCUAUAUUUACUAUAUAGUGCACUACAUUUACUGUGUGAUUUAUCCACUACAUAGUGCCUUCACAAAUUCCACAAUGGACUUUGGAAUUUGUGACAUAUCAAUAUAUACAUAAAAUAAAAAUAAAAAUAGAAAAUAGUAAAAUGUAAUAAAAGUCCUAAUCCUACAAUGCAAUAUAGAAUCCAAGCCAUGUUUAUUAUAAAAUGUCCUUUUACUGCUCGCUAUUAAGAAAACCUUUGAUUGUCUCUUAUGCAGCAUCUAUCUAUCAAUGAAUUAUUGUCUGUAAAAAGGUUAAAGUGAGCAACUGACAUGACUAUUCAGACAUGUAAAUGAUUGUAAAUAUUUCCUUAUACAAGCCAUAGACAAGGAGAAUUGCAUGGUGAUGGCGGAGUUUGAAAUUAAAAGUGACUCCACCGCUGGAAAGGUGAUGCAUCCAUACAAAUAUGUCUACUCAUUACUUCACCACCAAACACCUACGUCUUUGCUGGCUUUCCCCCUCUGCUCUAGUUCUGCCAGAUAUUACAUUGUGUGUGUCAGCACAAAGUCACGACAGAAUGAGAGAAACACAACUUUAUUUAUAUAUUGCAGUACAACAGAUUAGGUACAGUAAAGGUUAAAUGUAAGACCAAGUAUAUAUACAGUGUUCCAUAAUGAACAUGGCCUCUGGACUGUUAUUGUACUGACUUACGUGGUUGGAUGUAAGCAAUAGUGAUUUGUAUGUAUGAUAGCCUAUAUGCACAUGUUUUCAUCUGAAUAAAUUAAUUAGACUUUCAGUUAAAAUAUCUCAUUCUUAAAUUAAGUAAUUUAACAAGAAAAUACUUUAGUGUUUUCAGUAGUUUCCAUGUAAUUUGACCCAGUGACUCCAAAUCAGUACCAUACUUUAUAACUACACCGGACAAAUGAGACACCUCUUUUUAAUGCCAGUAUCUCCAUACCAGCAGUUUCUUAAAUUCGUUUGUGACCUUUUGGUCGGUACACUGAUCGGUCAAUGAGCUUGUUGCAGACAAGAGAAGUCCCGCCGUUCCCUAGGGCUACAAAACACCCCUCCUCAAUCUUUUUGCACUUCACCUCACUUAGCCUGACAACAGCAGAAUGAUUAAACUGUGUACAGAAGGCUACCUAGCUCUCUCUACCUUUUUUCUGCAUUGCACUUGUUACACAACUAGUCACACUCCCUGCCGUUUAGUUUAGCACCUCUUUAGCACUGUCACGCAAACGAUUUGCCUGUUUAGCAUGCCAACUUGUAAAGUAAAAUGGCUCCAGAAAAGCGUGUCUAGCAAAGCCAGUAUAGCUAGAAUGUCCUAGUAUUGCCCAUGUUUGGGCAGCCGGAGCCCCUGAGGAGUUUUUCCUCUCUUGGAAUGGAUACACGCAAUGCUUGCCCAGUUUGUCUUGGCAUGUUGCAUGUGAAAGCUACAGUCGUUAGCCCAGAGACCUUUGCGAGCUGUUGCCAACUCAAGAAGAAAAUCCCAACAAUCCUCUCCAACACCAAACACAAGCUCCCUGGCCCCAACGUUGUAUUGGAGCUCUCAUGGUCCUGGGCCCCAAGGCUUCGCUCUAUCUCUGCCAUUUACUCAAUUCUUGAAUGUGGAGGUACGAAGUCUAUUGGACAGACCAACAUCCCUCCGAUAGACAAGACACUAGUGGUGGUGGCGCUGAAGCCCAAACCCACUUUCCAGAUGCAGACCGCUUGUGCGCUGAAUACAGCCUCUAUGCUGCAAGCUUACCAGACUGAGAAGGACCUGCUCAAGACUCUGGUAAAGAAGGAAAAUGCAGCCAGGUGUUUGAUUACAUACACAGAUUUGCUGAUUUCAUUUUCUGGCUCUCCAGCACAGCAGCUGUAGCCCUGGGGAAAGGCAUGGCCGAAGUGAUGGCUAGCCAGCAUUAGGGUUUGGUUACGGAAACAGGACGCCAAUAUGGCACUGGUUUCUGUACAACCAGACCAAAGCACAAAGCAGAUGUCAGUGCUUGGUUUUGGUACCAGAGCUGUCUAUUGAAAUAGUUGUGCACUGGUGCAAAUGUUACAGACAACAGAGAUAUCACCACUUGUGUGCCAUCACCAAUUAUCAUUAUGGCGACUCUCUCUACAUGGCUCAGGCAGCAGGUACUGUUAGAUAGUAGCUGCCUUAAACACAGUAAAAUGCUGAGCUAAAUGGUCUAAAGUGUGAUUGUAUUUUACUCGAAAGGAUUCCAACACCAGGCGGGAUGUGCAACAGAUGUUUCAGAAAUAAUUACAAGUAAAGGGGGGGAGCAUGGGAUAAAGUGGAUCCACUAGAGGAAUCCAGUGUUCGACUACCUGUGUGACCCCAUGCCAAGCACAUCAGCUGGUGUUGUGGGCAUCUAUGACCCUUAUUUUGCACUGGACAACUCUAAUAUGAUGUUGCGCCCUAAAAACAUCCCUAAGGUGCCUGUCUUGCCAUAUAAAACAUUAGCUUGCGUUAAAACUGAUCCCCUUCACCUCCCCAGUUUGUGCCGAGGGGGUGCACACUGACUCCACCAGGACCUUGGCUGCAUCUUAGGCUCUUUCUAAAGGAGUUUGAGUGGAGGAUGCCUGUUCCGCUGCAAGCUGGGCUUCUCCACAUACUUUAAUGAAAUGUUAUUGCCAAACAACAUAGGAUGUCACUCAGUCUGUGCUCUCAGCAGGGGAGUGAUGAAGCUGACAUAACUGUUGCACCUAUCAUGAUGGGAAGGCGUGCAGUGAUACAAAAAGAUCAAGUAACAUGCCUGCUUGUAAUGUAAGGAAUAUGAGGUACUAGGGGUGUGCAUCUCUCCAAUAAAAGACGAUUCGAUGCGUAUCUCGAUACAUGGGGUACGAUACGAUUCAGGAACGAUAGAUUUAAAAUGGAACGAUUCGAUUCAGUUUGAUUCAGAAGGAUUUCGAUUCGGCACGGCACGGCUCAAUUAGAGAGGGUAUGAUGCGAUGGAUUUCUUGUUGAAAGUAGACAAUCAUUUCAUAAAAUGAAUUAACUUGUGUCAAAUGUGGCAUUUCCCUUCAAAAAGAUUUAUCAAAGACUAGAGAAGAAGUGUAUUUGUAGUUUUUGUCAUGUUUAUUAACAUGUAACAACACGUAAGAGCUCUCCAACUCAAUUAAAUUCAAAGAAACAACAGAGAGAGAUAUGUGUAGCCUCAGAUCAAGGCACAAUGAGCUAGUGAGGUAGAACAUAAAAUUUCAAGACAUCCCUUGUUCAUUUUUGUCUGAAAGAGAACAAAGUGGCUAACUGUAAGUAAGCAGAUUAUCAGUCAUUUAAAGUGCUGUUUUGACAAGCAUCUGCUCAAUAAAAUCCUCCACUAGUAA